RNAcentral lists this unclassified non-coding RNA (353 nucleotides) under soil metagenome. Its description in RNAcentral is "partial contains 5.8S ribosomal RNA, internal transcribed spacer 2, and large subunit ribosomal RNA". The stretch from base 1 to 120 matches the Rfam family "5.8S ribosomal RNA", at positions 35 to 154 of the family's 154-position model. The record is from RNAcentral.
GAUGAAGAACGUAGUGAAAUGCGAUAAGUAAUGUGAAUUGCAGAAUUCAGUGAAUCAUCGAAUCUUUGAACGCACAUUGCGCCCGCCAGUAUUCUGGCGGGCAUGCCUGUUCGAGCGUCAUUACAACCCUCAGGCCCCCGGGCCUGGCGUUGGGGAUCGGCGGAAGCCCCCUGCGGGCACAACGCCGUCCCCCAAAUACAGUGGCAGUCCCGCCGCAGCUUCCAUUGCGUAGUAGCUAACACCUCGCAACUGGAGAGCGGCGCGGCCACGCCGUAAAACACCCAACUUCUGAAUGUUGACCUCGAAUCAGGUAGGAAUACCCGCUGAACUUAAGCAUAUCAAUAAGCGGAGGA